UUGUGACAUACCUGUAUUUGCAUAAUGAAUCUACCUAAUAGAAAUUGCUGAGUGGAAACCACAUUCAGUCCAACAUAGGGGUGUGGGAUCACCUGAAGCUUCACCACCCACCCCCAACUUAUUUCACCAUAACAUUAAGCUAAACUCCUCUCAGGGAGCAUUAUCAAGGUUGAUCUUGGAGAAGCUUGGGUGAUCCAAAUACAGUAGUUAUGUUUUAAUUUAGGUUGCAUUGUAUCAUGUGGUUCAGUUCAGUAAUCGGUCAUGUUGAUAAAAAGCAAGUACAGGGGUACACAGUAUUUAUAUGAUGAACCUAUCUUGAUAGGAAUUGCCGACUGAACGAUACUUGAAGCCAACUUCAGUGCUGAUGAAACUUUGUAAUUCGCUGUUUAAGGAUGUGUGGACUUUUUUAUUUAAAAUUUUGUUUUGUUUUUCUAGGAAGCUGCUGUAAUGGGAAUCAACAUUUAAACUCUCUGGAGUUUUUGAAUUAAGGAUGAUCUUCUGUGGUGAAACAUUAUCCUGAAGGUUUUGCCUUAAGGAGUGAGCUUGUGUGAUGGAACAGCAUCUCUGAGAAUUCUACCAAGUUCUUGGAUUAAGAACUGAGGUCUGGCUGUGGAAGAAAAUCCUGGGAAUUUUGUUCUGGAGUCCUGGUAUUAAAGAGGAAGCUGCUGUAAUGGGAAUCAACAUUUAAACUCUCUGGAGUUCUUGAAUUAAGGAUGAUCUUCUGUGGUGAAACAUUAUCCUGAAGGUUUUGCCUUAAGGAGUGAGCUUGUGUGAUGGAACAGCAUCUCUGAGAAUUCUACCAAGUUCUUGGAUUAAGAACUGAGGUCUGGCUGUGGAAGAAAAUCCUGGGAAUUUUGUUCUGGAGUCCUGGUAUUAAAGAGGAAGCUGCUGUAAUGGGAAUCAACAUUUAAACUCUCUGGAGUUCUUGAAUUAAGGAUGAUCUUCUGUGGUGAAACAUUAUCCUGAAGGUUUUGCCUUAAGAUUAUAAUUGAGAUGAGGUGUACUGUAUGUUACCUGCAUAUUCAAGCCCCAUAUGUCCAACACAUCAUAAUUAGUUGAAGCCAAGACUCCUUCCAUACAGUUAAUCACUGACCCAUCGAAACAACCAAGCCAAGGUCAAGAUACCUGCAUAAACCGGACACUUUUGACAACUUGUUGCCAGUCACAGUAUUAUGGGAGUUUCAGAAUUUUUAAAAGGAAAUAUAUUUCUCGUGUCCAUCCA
Molecule: long non-coding RNA, 1222 nt
Organism: Homarus americanus (American lobster)
Lineage: Eukaryota; Metazoa; Arthropoda; Malacostraca; Decapoda; Nephropidae
Exons: 11
Source: RefSeq, a predicted model, not a curated record